AAGGUUCACAUUGGUACCUGAACUUGACGUCUCGGUUCAAAUUGGCUUUUAAGUCCAAAUUAGUACUAGAGUUAGAUGAGGUAUUUGAACCAAUUUUAACUAUGAAGUCAAGUUUGGUACUAAUUUGAACCAA
Molecule: microRNA precursor, 133 nt
Filed under: Gossypium raimondii (Peruvian cotton)
Lineage: Eukaryota; Viridiplantae; Streptophyta; Magnoliopsida; Malvales; Malvaceae
Description: miR8645 stem-loop (gra-MIR8645)
Source: miRBase by way of RNAcentral